CGAACGCUGGCGGCGCGUUUAAGCAUGCAAGUCGAGCGGCAAGGGCCUUCGGGCCCUAGAGCGGCGGACGGGUGAGUAACACGUGGACAAUCUGCCCCCCGGCCCGGGAUAGCCCAGGGAAACCUGGAUUAAUACCGGAUGAGACGGGACCCGCGAUGGCGGGAUCCGGGAAAGGCGCUGCGGCGCCGCCGGGGGAUGAGUCUGCGUCCCAUUAGCUAGACGGCGGGGUAACGGCCCACCGUGGCGACGAUGGGUAGCCGGCCUGAGAGGGUGGACGGCCACAUUGGAACUGAGACACGGUCCAGACUCCUACGGGAGGCAGCAGCUAAGAAUCUUCCGCAAUGGGCGAAAGCCUGACGGAGCCGACGCCGCGUGAACGAAGAAGGCCGUGAGGUUGUAAAGUUCUUUUCGGGAGGGGAACAACCGUGGCAGGGAAUGGCCGCGGGAUGACGUGAAUCCCGGAAUAAGCCCCGGCUAACUACGUGCCAGCCGCUGC
This 496-nucleotide ribosomal RNA is filed under the name uncultured bacterium. RNAcentral describes it as "bacterial SSU rRNA". It matches the Rfam family "Bacterial small subunit ribosomal RNA", at positions 30 to 518 of the family's 1533-position model. The record is from RNAcentral.